This 506-nucleotide ribosomal RNA is filed under the name uncultured bacterium. Its description in RNAcentral is "partial 16S ribosomal RNA". It matches the Rfam family "Bacterial small subunit ribosomal RNA", at positions 29 to 523 of the family's 1533-position model. The record is from RNAcentral.
AUUGAACGCUGGCGGCAGGCCUAACACAUGCAAGUCGAACGGCAGCACAGAAGAGCUUGCUCUUUGGGUGGCGAGUGGCGGACGGGUGAGUAAUGUCUGGGAAACUGCCCGAUGGAGGGGGAUAACUACUGGAAACGGUAGCUAAUACCGCAUAACGUCGCAAGACCAACGUGGGGGACCUUCGGGCCUCACACCAUCGGAUGUGCCCAGACGGGAUUAGCUAGUAGGUGGGGUAAUGGCUCACCUAGGCGACGAUCGCUAGCUGGUCUGAGAGGAUGACCAGCCACACUGGAACUGAGACACGGUCCAGACUCCUACGGGAGGCAGCAGUGGGGAAUAUUGCACAAUGGGCGCAAGCCUGAUGCAGCCAUGCCGCGUGUAUGAAGAAGGCCUUCGGGUUGUAAAGUACUUUCAGCGGGGAGGAAGGCGGUGAGGUUAAUAACCUCGCCGAUUGACGUUACCCGCAGAAGAAGCACCGGCUAACUCCGUGCCAGCAGCCGCCGCCG